GGACCGUGAAACGACUUUGCGCCGAUGAUAGUGCUGCAACCAGUGUGAAAGUAGGUUAUCGUCAGGC
RNAcentral lists this ribosomal RNA (67 nucleotides) under Herbaspirillum sp. SJZ107. The record is from RNAcentral. Lineage: Bacteria; Pseudomonadati; Pseudomonadota; Betaproteobacteria; Burkholderiales; Oxalobacteraceae.